AUACUGGAACAUGUCGGCUGGUUUGUGGGUCGUUCAGCAGGUUGGAUCAUAAUUUGGUGAACCUUCAGAAACUCAGCUGCAUUGUGAACAGUAACUCAGCCUGGUGGUGGCAGCAGCAUGAUGUGGGACUGUUGUCAUCGUUUCACCCUCGCAGUCGCCUGACCAUUUCUGACCAUUUAUGACCAUUUCUGACCAUUUCUGACCAUUUCUGACCAUCUUCAUCCCAGUAUGACCACAGUGGAUUCAUCUGGAGGAUAUUUCACACUAAGUCAUCUGAUGUCAAACUGGUUCCUAAACUGGGAGGAUCACCAGUUCACUGGAUCUUAGACCAUCAGAGCCGCUGAAACCUCAUCCUCAUCACCAUAAUCAGUCUCAGUGGUUUCUGGUUCUCUGCAGCACCGACUCAAUAACUUUAACUGGUUUCUCAGUCAGAAAUCUCCUCACUGGCUGAACCUCACCUUCAGCAACAACCAGUUUCUCUCUGGCUCCUCCCACCACUGCUGAGCUCAGCCAAUGAGAAGGCUUGUCUCUGCAGGGUUAAAAGCAGCUUGAUGAUGAUGAUGAAGGUCUGUUAGUCUUCCUUCUGCUGCAGUGGAUCAUCUCUGUAGAUCUGCUGUCUGACCUGAACUCCUGGAACAUGUUGCUUUACCUCCUGCUCUUCUCUCUCUACAUCGCUCUGGGCUCCAUGAACACCGUCACACAGGAGCAGAGGGAACACGUCGCUUCAGAGGGAAGCCCCACCAGUUUGAGCUGCGGAUAUACUGGUUCUAUCUAUAAUGUCCAGUGGUACCGACAGCAGCAGAGAUCCAGACCAGAGUUCCUGCUCUACGUUUCAGAGUCGGGAUCCAUCCAUCCAACUCGCUCCGAUUUCUCAGCUCACAUCAAUAAAACUCAGAAACGAGGAACUCUGCUGAUCUCCUCUGCUGCAGUGACAGACUCUGCUGUGUACUACUGCGCCGUGACGCCCACAGUGACAGGAAACACCAGAACCCUGGACAAGAACCUGCAGUACUCCACAGCAGCCACUAGAGGGCCUCAGACUGCAUGAACCCGAGGUUUCUCUGUAGAAACUCACUGAACCUCAUGACAAAGCUGCUCCUGCUCCAGUUUGUCCAGCAGAUCUAAGUGAAUGGGAGGAACCGUUGUAAGCUGCAGGCUGAUGAGCGUC
Molecule: non-coding RNA, 1168 nt
Organism: Gambusia affinis (western mosquitofish)
Lineage: Eukaryota; Metazoa; Chordata; Actinopteri; Cyprinodontiformes; Poeciliidae
Source: the annotation of a RefSeq genome assembly